CACUUGACCGGACGGCCAUACUUUUUUCAAUUUCUUUUAUCUGAAUUGGAUGACAUUGCGAAAAGGUUCACAAAUGCAGCAAACACACUAAACCAGGUUGGUUUAUUUAUUUAAUUGUCUAUUUUAGAAAACCAUGCAGAGACACUCAGUAGAAAAGGGAAGCAUGGAAGCAACCAUGGCAACCUCACAUACGCUCAUUCGAAACGCAAGCUCUUGAUUAUUAUAGUUCUCACACCAGCAGGUAUACGAACUCAAACCCGAACUAACCACUUCAAGCAUAGGCACCAGGGUUGGCCAGGAGGUAGGCCUCUGCAGCCUUGAUAGUCCCGAUCACUGCUUCCUUUCCCUUGGCAAUCUCAUCCUUGUUGUCAACUCCUGGUAAUGGCUUAUAGGUUGUCACCACCUUGCACACGCACCCUCCCUUGCUGGAUUUCUCGAACUUGAAAUGGGUUGAGGCCGACUCGAUCUUCUUCCCGAGAUCGCCGCCUUCGACAAGGCUGUGCUUGCACUCAAACUUGUCGAAGUCCACAAAGUCCAGGCGCUCCUUUACAUAGCUAAAUGGCAUGGCUACAAAUAUGGGAACCACAAGGUUAGCACCAGCUCUAAGUCCAUAAAAAUUAGAUAUAUAUAAGGAUUUGUUUGAAUGAUUGGGCUGAAAAAAUUUUAUUAGAUUCGUGGAUUAAGUCAGUACAAUCAGCAAAAUUAUAGGAUUACAAGCUGAUCUAGACAUAUACUUAGAAAUAGCUUUGGAGUGGGCAGGUUAGAUUUCCAUAUCAAGAAAAAAAGAUUUUAGCCUGUAAACAUAUGAAUAUAGGCUUGGUCCGGCUUGUAAUCUUAUGAUUUUGCUUGCUGUAUUGGUUCAAUCCAUGAAUCCAAAAGGAUUUUUAGCCCAAUCACCAAAACAGAACUUAAGACUAGAAAAUUUCAAAGUGUGAGCCAUAAUACCUGAGGUGAAGUUGAUCUGUCUGACACUCCCAACACUACCAUCACCAUGGACACCAGCGGCACUUGCGACGAUGUCAGGCAAGAGCUUAGCGGCCAGGUUGUGCCAGUCGAGGACCGCCUUGAACAACCUUGGAGCGGGCGCUUGGGACUCGACCUCGAGGUUCCAACAUGGGGGACUCAUGGUUAAAUUGGAUUCUUUAUUGGGCUUCACUUCUUUCUGCUAAGUUGUGGUGAGCGAAAUCCAGAUGGAGAAUGGCGAGCAAAGGAUGGGGGUUUUAUAGAGGGUUUGUGUGGAAUGGUAGGUAUGGAACGAAGAAGCAUGCGUGCUGGUUUUUUCAAAUUUGGGCAGCGCCUUUGCUAAACUGCUGACUAAUAAAAAUAGAGGAAAGAAUGCGGGGGAGAGGUAGCUAGGUGCUCACGUCGAGGUGAGACUUUUUUUUUUUUGGUGAGACUUGGGGAACGUUUUUUUUUCCAUUGGCGGAUCCCAGCUAAAACGAUCAUGAGCGCUCUAACUGUUGAUAUAUGCCCUGCUUCGCAGUUUAUGAUUUCAAAUUUUAAUAUUAAAAGAAUAUAUGAAAAACUAACAUUUUUAGUGUUCGUCUAAUAAAAAUAUCAUUUUUUAGGUGAGACAGACUUAAUUAUUUGGAGAUUAUUUAGAUUAUAAUAAAUUGUUAUAUUGCCCAAUAACCCAUCUGUUAUCUUUUUCUACGUUAUAUUGCUAUAAUAACAGAGUAAAGUAGGGGCCAAAAAGCAUUAUAAAUUUAUAAUAACCAUUCUUCUUUUUUUAUAAUAACCAAUACGCGAGCCGUGGUCAUAAUGAGCAUGUGGCAACCCAUGUCUAUAAUAACAUUUCUCAAACCCAUUUACUAAGUGAAUUGAGUUCAAAUUUAGACUUUGACACCUUUAACUUAUUUUGUUCUAUUUAAUAAUUAGAUCAAAUAUAACUUGACAUAUUUAAUUUAUUUAAUCUAUUUAAUCUGAUCUGCUUAACUUGUUUUUAUUAUAUUUAACUCGAUAUGGAAGUCUAUCUAAAUUUAAUUAAUUUAUUAAAAAUUUAUUUCACUUGUUUAAUAGAUGAGUUAUAUGGAUCAGGUCGGAUUAUCUAUUUAAUAAAUAUAUCAAAUUUAGAUUGAUGGUUUUUUUGACUCAAUUCGUAUUCAAUCUGAUCUAUAUUCGAUCUGAUCCAAUUGUGACCUGUACUCUGCUCAGACAAGGACUUUUUAUCUAUAUAAAAAUUUAGUUUGGGUAUGUGGCCAGAGCUCUAGCUGGGCAUCUUGGCCUGCAAGAGGAUGCGUUUAGCCCAGCCCAAAACGAAGAGGCUUGCUUUCUUUCUUCCGGUAGUUGGUGAGGGGAACAGCAUACGCGGAUCUGGGUCCCCGUGCGGGCCCAUGGUAUUUCCGUGCUUGAGAUGACGAAAAUGGCCCUGAGAAGGGUAUACUAGGAAGGAAACUAAGAUUUCGCGGCUGAUUUUUUUUUUUUUUUGAUUUUUUGGUGGAUAAAAAUGCGAAGAAGCGGGAUAGCUUGGAGGACCUGCAGAAGAUACUGGCAGAUAUAGUGAACGGAGAUGGCCGGACCGCCGGGUUUGCGAGGAAAGAUCCGAGUUGGCAUGGGCUUUGACCCACUUGGGAGCCUGGUCGACUCAGUGGAGGAGCUGGGGACAACUGGGUCGGCUGGGUUGCAGGCCAGCCCAGAGAUCCAAAUAGUUGAUGCGGGCUCGAGCCAAUCAAACAAAAGGCCCAGGAGCCCAGCGCCACACCCUGCGUUGGGUCUAGGGCUGGAAGUGGGCCGGGCCGGGCCGGGCCAUACUCCUACCCGAGCCCGGCCCGNNNNNNNNNNNNNNNNNNNNNNNNNNNNNNNNNNNNNNNNNNNNNNNNNNNNNNNNNNNNNNNNNNNNNNNNNNNNNNNNNNNNNAGCCUGAUCACGAGCCCGGCCAGAGAUGUUCGCGUCCGGAGCAAGCUCCCGAAGCCACAAAUCUCUGUGCACCAACAUGAAGGCGUGGAUGCGAUCUGAUCAUUCCCAUGUAGGCCGGACUGCGCCCUCACCUCUCGGCAGAGGAGCCGAGCUCCAGCUCAUGCUCGGUGUCAUCGGCGCCGGCGCGCCUCUCGUCUUGUUCCCCAUCUAAACCCAUAAAUUCGCCCUCAGUCACCACCUCAAGGAGGAUCCGAUGGUAGGUCUUCUUCCUUUACUUAAAGGCAUAAAGCCGCUGUUCUAAUUUUUAUCUACUUCCAGCAACUCAAAUGGUAAAGAGGGGCAAUCCCUGACUCCCAUUCACAUAAAAAAAAAAGAAAAAAACUUUAUUUCUUAUUCUUCUUCUCUCUCUUUUUCUUGUUUUCCCCCCCGAAUAAAUGGCAGGAAGCAUCAAUGGCAGAAUACAUAAUACAACAAUACAUCGCGACGUCAGGCGGCGAGCAAGCAUUAAACUCGGUGAGUAGUAUGUACACCAUGGGGAAGGUAAGGAUGACGGCGACGGAAUUCCGAGCAGGCAAUGGCAAUAACGCCAGCCAUGCCAACAAGAAGGCGAGCAAGGGUGGUGGUGGAGGGGAGAUGGGAGGGUUCGUGCUGUGGCAGAAGAAGCCGGACUUGUGGUGUCUUGAACUGGUGGUGGCCGGUUGCAAGAUCAGCGCUGGGAGUGACGGCAAGGUGGCAUGGAGGCAGACAGCAUGGCUUCGCCUCUGUGCCUCUGCAAAUCCCUCGGGCAAGUUGGCAACUGGGUUUAGCCGCGAUUCGGCAGACUGCAGACACAACUGGGUUUAGCCACGAUACGGGCUGGAAGUGGGCUCGGGCUUGGACGGGCCCGAGCUGGGCCAAUGAAAUACCCGAGCCCGGCCCGAAAUAGAAAUGGGCUUAAUCAUUCAGCCCGAGCCCGGCCCGAAAUGCAUUGAGCCUAGCCCAUAGCCCGGCCCGCGGGCGGCCCGACCCGAUGGGCUUCGGGCCGGCCCGAGCCCACUUCCAGCCCUAGUUGGUCGGGCUGCAGGAGGGCGGCUCGAGAGCGCGAGCAGGGCCUCUCCAGAGAAAGGUUCAGGCGUGGCCUGUGGGCUCGAGGCGGGCCCAUCAAGAGCCUUGAAGCGGGCCGGCCUGGGGCUGACCUGGGCAUGUUGCCCAUGUCGGGCACAACGGGGCCCAGGAGUGAUGGAGCUGCUAGCUCCGGCCACAACGAAGGCGGCCCAAGCGGGACAUGAUCUCCCCCAAGCCAUGCCGGAGAGCGACCUAGAGGGGAGGUCGGACGUGGGAGGGUCGGUGCCGCCCAGGAGCGGGGUUGAAGUGGCUCGGGCGGACCGAAUGAUCCAGGGGGCGGUGGUGGAAGAGGUGGGCUGCGACGGCGGUGGCGAUUGGGCUGCUGGCAGGGUGGUGGCGGUUGUGGAUCACCCCACUGUUGUGCAACAUGUGAAGGUUGCAGCGAUGAGGGUGGUCUCGGGCAUGAGCGAGGAAGGUGAGCAGCGAAUUGAACAGGCCCACAGUGGAUUGGAGGACCUUGAGACUUUGGGGGGGUACACGUCAGGGCCCACUUAUCAAGGUAGUGCGUUAUGAAGAUUCUAGUAUCGAACUGAGGGGGGCGGCCAAGCCUUCCUUCAUGACUUCAUUUAGGAGAUCAAAUCAGGUGAAUGACUCGGAGAUCUGCUUUCUAUGUGAGACGUGAUUAUUUGGAGAUGGUCUCUGUCGAGUGCAGCAUCGCCUGGCAGCUGAUCCUAGGGACUAUUUUGGGGCAUCUUGGGGUUGUGGAAGAGGGGGAUAGCCACUAUGGAUGUUUUCCAUAACUACUUACAGCAGGUUGUAAUAGUUAUUUCAGAACCUAAUGAAGCUCCGUGGGUAUUAUGUGGUGUGUAUGCCAAUACUGACUACAGAGUUAGGAGAGUUCUCUGGAAUGAGAUCACCAACCUGAUUUCCUAGGGCAUUCCGACAGUGGUGGUGGGUGACUUCAAUUGUAUCCAGGGGCUCAGUGAGAAACAGAGAGGCAGGGCUUACACCGACUCAGUGGACAGGAGGGAGUUUCGGAAUUUCUUGUCGAAGAAUGAACUGGUGGACCUCAGAUUCUCUGGGUCGAGAUUCACUUGGUGCAACAACCAGUCCAGCCGAUAGAUAGGGUCGUGCAUCUCCAUGCUGGGUUCUCUGCUUCCCUACCUACCAAGUCAGUAACUUACCUCGGAUAGCUUCGAAUCAUUGUCUUCUUUUGAUUUCUACAGAAUCUUGCUCCAGUCACGACAUCUCAUUCCGCUUUGAGAAAGUGCGGCUGUCAUAUCUCCAGUCUUAGAACAUUGUUCGGGAGGCUUGAGAGGUGCUAGUGCGGGGUGAUGCUAUGCAGAGGGUUUCGCGUAGGCUGGGGCUCACUAAGCGAUGACUCUGUUGGUGGAACCGAGAGGUAGUUCUUCAGGAGAUUGGAGGAGGCUGAGAUUUCGAUUGCUGAUCUUCAGGGGAGAGAGGAUAUGGGUGGAGAGCUCUGGGAGGCCGACAUGGUAGUCAUACAACAGCAACUUGCUACACAUCACUCCCUCUUGCAGCAGCAGGAGCUCUUCUAGAGACAGAAAUCUAGAAUUCUGGGUCAAGGAGAAGGACUGGAACACCAGAUUCUUCCACCAGACGAUUAUUAUCAAAAGGCAGAGAAAUACGAUCCACUCUAUGGAGUCAAGUCAUGGCGGCUAGAUACGGCAAAGUGCGGACUAAUGGGGCGGCCCCGAGUAGAGGAGAAGACACUACAUGUGGCGGGAGAUUUGCAAGUACAUGCCUACUGCCUUGGUGAAUACCAAAUGGCUGAUCGGCGAUGGGCAGAGCAUGGAUGUUGUGGACGACCCAUGGGUAGUCUCUCUUCCUUUGAGACUGUCGCGACCAUGGUCAACGUCGAGGCUACGGAUGGACUCUAGUUUUGCGAUCUUCUUAACUCAGAGGGGGUGGAGUGGAAUGUCGGCAGGAUCUAUCGGUUAUUUGGAGAGCACCUUGUAGAGCGUGUUUGAUUGCUCCCGAUUUCGAGGUGUGCUGAUGUGAGGGUUUGGAGCACGUCCUGUAGAGCCAGUGUCAGGUGGGAGAUGUCUUCCGCAUCCUCCAGCAAGAGCACAAGCCUUGGAUGGAUUAUGCUUAGAUCUGGAGCAUCCGACUUCAUCCGAAGGUAGCAUUAUUUCUAUAGAAGGUGGCUUAGGAGCGCCUGUCGACGAGAUUGGGGCUAAGCAAAAGGGGACUGGGCAUUCAUCCCCAGUGUCCGAAUUGCUGAGUGGACGAGACGGUGGAUCAUGUUCUGCUCUAGUGUGUGUGGGCUAGGGGGUCAGAGGCUCGUCGAGAUCCCACACGAUGCCUAGAGUCGGAUGGGGUCUUUCCUACAGGCAGUUUAUUGGUGGUCCAACGGCUCCGAGAUGCGUCGGGUGGCUGUUGCAGCGAUCUACACAGCUUACUAGAUCUAGUUGGUAAGGAAUGCUCAGACUUUUGGUGAGAAUAGUUCGUCCUCAAGGUUCCACGUGGAGCGCGCUCGGGUACAAGUAGCAGAGAUCAUUAAUGCAAGCUUAGCUUAUGGGUCUUUGAUAGCUCAGGACAGUUGGAGCCCUCAUUUUGCUCAAGUAGAGCCUUGUAUGGUGUUCUUCACUUGGGAGCGCCCACCUCCAAGCUUCCUUAAGGUCAACUUCGAUGGAUCCAUGCGAGACGGUGGCAGAAGAGGAGGUGAUGGGUUUGUCAUUAGGGGCUCGAACUCUAGGAUAGUGGCUGCCAAAUCUUCGAUACCUCAGUCAUUGGAGCAAAGCUGCGGCUGAAUUGGGCUAGCUUGUGCCGUGCUCGGCGUGUGCUAUAGGCCAGCUCGAUUACAUUACAGGAUGACUCGGGCAUCGUGAUCAGUUGGAUCCAAGGUGGCCCGAGUGGUGGUAGAGGGAGACACCCUCUUCUUCGAGAUAUUUAGACUUUGGUGAGUGACGUUGUGGCCUUUCAGGUUAGGCAUGUGUUUAAAAAGGUUAAUGAGGCUGCGGACUGGGUGACUUCUUAUGUGACUUGUCACUCCGGGGGUAUCCUGUGGGCUGGAAAGGGGGAGUUGCUCAGAGUACUCCAAGAUUUAUUAUUUUUUGAUUUUAUUGGGUAUAUCCAUACUCGAACGGUAUGAACGCCGCUUUAGCGACAAAAAAAAAAAAAGAAAAUACAACGUUGUUGCUGGGUCCUUUUGUGUGGGGUCCAGGUGCUUAUCCUUGUGGUCGGAUGUAAACUUAGCGGGAAAAAGGUUUGGAUGCGAGUGAAUGCCUUUUUAGAUACAUAACCUUGUUAUCUUCAGAUGGUAUGUUAUAUAAGAAUGUGCUAGUGGUGUCGUUAGCAAGAGUUAUUAUAAGCCAUCAGUGUAAGCUAGUGUUGAGCUUAAUGGGCCUGGAUACUUAAAAUUUAAUUAACGGUUCUCUGUGAUUUGCAUUUUAAUUGCAUAAUUGUUUCUGUUGCUAGUCGAUCCAAAGACAAGAAUCAUCCGUGGUACUCACAUACCUCGCAAAGGAAAUUAGGAUUUGUUUCAUUAGCUUUAGCAAAAACCCAGAACGAAACAUAUGGGCCGGGUCAGGAUUAGAUUGGGUCAAGCAAGCCCAAAUUAGUCUGGUGUGUGCAGUACAAAGUGCGCUGCAUUUGGAGCCUACCCAGUUUGAUUAGGUUGAUUAAGAUAAAUAAAGUAGUUUUGAAUGUCUUUAUUUGUAUUUAGACAGCCAAACUAAUCAACCUAUUUAGGUUGGUUACAAGUCCAAUUAGUUAGCGGUCUUUAUAGUCCAUACCACGUUCACUGUGCCAAAAAGAAUGAUAUAUAUGUAUAUAUAUAAAAUCAUGUCCAUAAGGAGAAAGUAAAAGGCUGAGGGACUUGCCCGAACGGCCAUACUUUUUUCAAUUUCUUUUCUGAAUUGGAUGACAUUGCGAAAAGGUUCACAAAUGCAGCAAACACACUAAACCAGGUUGGUUUAUUUAUUUAAUUGUCUAUUUUAGAAAACCAUGCAGAGACACUCAGUAGAAAAGGAAAGCAUGGAAGCAACCAUGGCAACCUCACAUACGCUCACUCGAAACGCAAGCUCUUGAUUAUUAUAGUUCUCACACCAGCAGGUAUACGAACUCAAACCCGAACCACUUCAAGCAUAGGCACCAGGGUUGGCCAGGAGGUAGGCCUCUGCAGCCUUGAUAGUCCCCCCGAUCACUGCUUCCUUUCCCUUGGCAAUCUCAUCCUUGUUGUCAACUCCUGGUAAUGGCUUAUAGGUUGUCACCACCUUGCACACGCACCCUCCCUUGCUGGAUUUCUCGAACUUGAAAUGGGUUGAGGCCGACUCGAUCUUCUUCCCGAGAUCGCCGCCUUCGACAAGGCUGUGCUUGCACUCAAGCUUGUUGAAGUCCACAAAGUCCAGGCGCUCCUUUACAUAGCCAAAUGGCAUGGCUACAAAUAUUAGAACCACAAGGUUAGCACAAACUCUAAGUACAUGAAAAUUAUAUAUAUAUAUAAAGGUUUGUUUGGGUAAUUGGGCUGAAAAAAUUAUAUUAAAUUUGUGAAUUGAGCCUGUACAACUAACUGGUCUAGACCUAUAUUCAUAAGUACUUACAAAUAGCUUUGGAGUGGGCCGGCUAGAUUUUCAAAUUAAGACAAAAAGAUCUUAGCCUAUAAACUUGUGAAUAUCGGCUUAGUUCGGCCUAUAAUCCUAUGAUUUUGAUGGCUGUACUGGCUCAAUCUAUGAAUCCAAAAGGAUUUUUAGCCCAAUCAUCGAAAUAGAAUCUAAACUAGAAAAUUUCAAAGUAUGGGUCAUAAUACCUGAGGUAAAGUUGAUCUGUCGGACACUCCCGAUGCUACCAUCACCAUGGACACCGGCGGCGCUUGCGACGAUGUCAGGCAGGAGCUUAGCGGCCAAGUUGUGCCAGUCAAGGACCGCCUUGAACAACCUUGGAGCGGGCGCUUGGGACUCGACCUCGAGGUUCCAACACGGGGGACUCAUGGUUAAAUUGGAUUCUUUAUUGGGCUUCACUUCUUAUGCUAAGUUGUGGUGAGUGAAAUCCAGAUGGAGAAUGGCGAGCAAAGGUUGGGGGUUUUAUAGAGGGUUUGUGUGGAAUGGUAGGUAUGGAACGGAGAAGCAUGCGUGCUGGUUUAUUCAUAUUUGGGCAGCGCCGUUGCUGAAACUGCUGACUAAUAAAAAUAGAGGAGGAAAGAGUGCAGGGGAGAGAGGCGGGCAGGUGGCUCACAUCAAGGUGAGACCUCGGGGAACCGUUUUUUUACAUUCUGACGGAUCCCAGCUAAAACAGAUCGCUAUAACCGUUGAUACAUGCCCUGCUUCGCAGUUUAUGAUUUCAAUUUUUAAUAUUAAAAUAAUAUAUGAAAAACUAACCCUUUUAGUGUUCGUCCAAUAAAAGUAACAUUUUUCAGGUGAGACAAACUUAAUUAUUUGGAGAUUAUUUAGAUUAUAAUAAACUGUUUUAUUGCCCAAUAACCCACCCAUUAUCUUUUUCUGCAUUAUAUUGUUAUAGUCACAGAGUAAAGUAAGAGCGGUGAUUACCAUCCGCUGCUGAGAGAUGUUUCCGGAUCGUAAUUUGUGGUGGGAUGGUACUCUAAACUAAGUACGUAUUUAGAGAGGUCAAUGAUGUUGCAGAUUGGGUGACCUUUUUUUGUUGCCGACCACUCGAAAGACCACCUUUGGGUAGAAAAGGCAGCGUUGCCCAGUGCACUCCAUGAUGUACUAUUUUUUGGUUUACUUGGUUGUAUCUGUACACGUUAUAUGUGAUAUUCCGACUUUUAGCAAAAAAAAAAACAAAAAGCAUUAUAAAUUUAUAGUAAUCAUUCUUCUUUAUAUAUAUAUAUAUAAUAAUAAUAAUAAUAAUAAUAAUAAUAACAACCAAUAAUGCGGGCCAUGGUCAUAGUGGGCACACCAUGUUUGUAAUAAAGAUCAACAUGUUGGCCUAUUUAUUAAAUAAAUUGAGUUCAAGUUUAAAUCUUUGACCUAUUUAAUUUAUUUCGAUUCAUUUAAUUAUUAGAUAAGAUCAUCUGACCCAUUUAAUCCGUUAAAGAUCUACUUAAUCUAUUUAAUCCGACUCUCUUAACUUGUUUCUGUUUAGUUUAACUCGAUAUACUUAACCUAUUUAAAUUCAAUUAAUUUAUUAAAAAUUUAUUUAACUUGUCUUAACUUGUUUAAUAAGCGUGUUAUAUGGAUAAGGUCGAGUUACCUAUUUAAUAAAUAGAGCGGGAUUGAAUUGGUAAAUUUUUAACUCAACUCGUAUCUGAUUUGAUUCAUAUCCGCCACGAUCUGAUCCAAUUGUCACUCUUAUUUUGCUCAAAUAAAAAAUUUACCUAUAAAAACAAAUCUAAGGUACAUUUUGUUUUUGGUUAUUUUUUAGAAACUUUGUCUAACUUAAACAUCGAAGGCCUCCUCGUCCGAAUCAGCUUUGGCAACCUUCCGGUUAGUUUUUUUUUUUUGUUGCUAAAAACAAGUAUAUCAUACAAUGCGGGUACGGAUACACCCAUUAGAGUCGGCAAACAGCAAAUCACACAAUGCCCUAGGUAAGUUCCCCUCCUCAUCCAUAGGGUGUCUCUUGAAUGGUUCGCCACAGACGCUGCCACCCAGUCCGCUGCCCCGUUGGCCUCUCGGUACACGUGCUUGGCUUGAAAGACCACUCCAUCACUCACUAUUUUUCAGAUAUUUCGAAGCAAGGGGUGUAACCGUUCACCUCCGCCCGGGCCCUGUUGGGCCCAACCAAUAAUGAUGAUGAGUCACCCUCCAGUAUGAUUGAGGUAGCUUGGAGCGCUCGCCUAGCAUGACACAGUCCAGUCCAGGCCGCCCGCAACUCUGCUCCCGAAACCGAGAUGUCGAAGAUCUGGCAGCCACCACCCUGGAGCUCGGGCCUCUGAUGACAAAAUCAGCUCCUCCCCUCCUGUCGCCAUUUAGAACGGAAUCGUCAAAAAUUAACCUUGAGAAAACUCGGAGGUGGUGGCUCUCAUGUGAAAUACACCAUACAGAGCGUUGCUUGAGCAAUAUGGGGGCCUUAGAUGUCCUGAGCUAUCCAAGGCACAUGAUCCAAGCCUACUUGAGUGAUUUCAGCUGUCUGUUUUCUGGCACGCUCUAUCACAAACUGUGGGGAUAAAUUAUGUUCGUCAAAAAUUCGAACGUUCUUCAUCAGCCAAAUCUGAUAAGCUCACCGCUACGGUCUCACAUCGCAUAUGAAGGGUACUGGACCACCGCCGCAUAGUCUGGAAGAAGAAAUCCUCUUGGCACCGUGCCUCCUGCGGCACCCCAGCAAGUCGCCAGGCUCCAACGACCUUCAAUGUAUGGUUUUGACGGCAACAGCUUUGAUUAAUUAUUAUUGUACGAGAAAACUUUGUCAUCGUCAAAGAAAUUUGCAAGAAGGGGACUCGAUCAGCUCUGUAGGCAGUACAUGUCACAGCAAAUCCAGUGUAUAAACUUUAACACGUGUUUGUAUCCGACAUGAAAUUUAGUGUUCUUUUUUUUUCUGCUUAAAACGGGUUCUUCAGACAACGCGUGUCCGAAUACAUCCAAGAACAUCAAAAUACAAAAUCUCACGUAGUGCCAAUGGCAGCUCUCACUCUCCUGCCCACAGGGCGUAUCCCGAGUGGUGUGCUGCAUAUGCAGCUAUCCAGUCAGCCGCCCCGUUGGCCUCCCUAAAUACAUGCUUAGCCUCAAAGGCCGCACCAUCCUUCACCAUCAUCCUAAUAUCCCGAAUCAAAGGAUGGCCAGUGCUCUCACGCCGAAUCCACCCAAUGACAGUGGAUGAGUCGCCCUCCAAGAUGAUCGAGCUAGCCCGCAGUACCUGCCGCGCAUGGCGAAGGCCGGCCCAGGCAGCUCGCAACUCCGCCUCUGCCCUCUGGAACUGAUAUGUCGAAGAGCCGGCAACCGCCCGCUGCCACUACCCUAGAGUGAGGGUUUCGUAUGACGAAGCCUGCGCCGCCUCGUGUACCACUAUCUAGUACUGAACCAUCAAAGUUAACCUUGAAGAAACUCGGGGGUGGGGGCUCCCAGGUGAAGAACACCGUCCGAAGAGCUGCCUGAGUAGAGAAAGAACUCCAGGUGUCCCGAGCUAUCAAGGCCGUAUCUGAAGGGCUGGUAGGUCUGGAAUCCAUCGCCAGUACUCGAGCAGACUCCGCAACAAACCUCGGCGACAUUCUACGCUCACCGAAGGUGCGAGCGUUCCUUGCCAGCCAGAUCUGAUGGGCAGUGCAAGUUGCUUGGAUGGACUCCUGACAUGUCCGAGGACUGGCCAGCCACUAUCAUAUCAUAUGUAGAAAAAGUCUCCUCUCCCGCCACACCUUCUCUGGGAUACCCGUCCACUGCCAUGUCAACCUCGCCCAAGUACAUCCAAAUAGUACAUGGUCCACUGACUCGUCUGCACCGCAAGCCCCACACUCCGCAGGGAUCCCCAAACCACGUCGGCUCAGCACUGCUCUCGUCGGGAGACGGUUCCACAUCACCUUCCAUAAAAGAGUGCUGCUCUCGGGUGGAGCCUGGACCUCCAAAUCCAAGCACAGUCCCAUCCACUCUCAUGCUCUCACUGAAUCACCCGGGCCAGGUCACCCAGCCUAACACUGGCCCUGCAUGAAGUGCUCCAAACCCUGACAUCUGGGCCCUCGCAUCCUGGUACUAGAAGAGAAAGGAUCCUCUUGGCUAGAUGUGCCCCGAACAACUGAUGUAGUCUGUCCUCGUCCCACUCUGCCCUCCCUGGUGCUAGGAGGUCGCACAUCCGGACCCCACUGCUGCCUCAAAAUCCACCGUCGUCGGCCAAUAUCUCAAAGGAAUGGUAUCCACUCAUGGAUCAUCAGUCACAACAAUGGUCCGGCCAUCGCCCAUCAGCCACCUGGUAUUAGCUAACACGGUCGGCAGGUACCUCCCAAUCUCGCGCCACAUGAAAGAGAUACGGCGACCACACCGUGCCACCUCAGGGCUCCCUCUUUUUUUUUGGUACAUGAAAAUUUAGUUUGGGUACGUGGCAAGAGCUCGAGCUGGGGAUCCUGGCCUGCAAGAUGAUGCGUUUAGCGCCGCCCGCACCGCCCCACCGCGCUAUUCCCAACUUAUUCCCCGCCAAUAACUACUUAUUCUCCGGUUGGGCAGUAAAGGUCGGAGAAGGGUAAGACCAAAGAGUCGGGCCGAAAAUUUUUCUAAACUGCCAAAAAGGUUCAAAGCUGAAGGCGGAGAUUUUGUCGGAAUGACGUGUCCCGCAGGACCAAAACGCACGGCUCUUACGGUGGUAGCGUCACAGAAUGGAGACCUAGCCAUCUAGAAAUCUUAUCUCCCUCUUAUUUCUUACUAAGAAACGUCCUCUCUUUCAUCUGGUAAAGAAGAUGAUUUACUGGCUCGUAUGGUCGGCAAGGAAAAGAAUUGCAUGUUUCUUUCUAUUUAAAUAGCAGUGGUAGGACUCAUAUUGGGACAAGGCAACCAAGCGUCGUGGUUCUAUCUUGACUAAUAAGAAAAAAUGUCCCAUAGAUUUAUUAGCCCUGCCAAUUCUUCUUUCAACAACUUAUUUUUAGACUUUGAGUAUGUGACAAAUAAUAUCAGAACCAUACCUAUUGUGCGUCACAAACUUCAAUAGUCAUAUGGGCUCUUUAUUGAAAUAGACUAAAGUCGAGUAAGACUUGGGCUAUGGAUGGACCCCGUCUCUAGAGUAGGCUUCAACUAUGAUGAGGGCAUCACAAAAUUGAAUGGAGGAGGUUGUCAUAAUUCUAUAUUGACCGAUAAAAGAGGUACCAUAUGGGUUAAUCAAUCUAGACCAAUCCACCACCCAAUAGCUUAAGCUUUUGGUUUGUGAGCGUGUGACACAAGGCCCACUCUAAUAUGAAGUCCUAAGCCCAUUUAGCACAACCUGACAUGGCUGAUAUAAGAUGAUGGGAUGCAAUGCAUGUAGCGUCUGAGAAUCUACAGAUUCUGUCCCAACAAAUGCAUGUUGAAAAUUUAAAUUCCAUGAAUGUAAUUACGAAAUUUCAUGUGAUUUUUUAGCUAUUUUAACAAAAUUGAGUGAAAAAAUAAAUAGCAAUCUACGGUUUGCUUUUACUAUGUCCUAAGUUGGAAUCAGAGCUUACUUGGUCUGGGUCAGGUCGGAGUUAUGGCACUGUGGAUUGAGCGCAGCCUGGGUCAUGCCGGAUUAGACAGAUGGUGCAUCAAGUUUGGCCUACUCUUUAAUGGCGUUGGUCAAACCCACAACUACCUUUAGCUAAUUCACCCCAGCUAGAAAGGCUAAUAUAGCUGCUUUGGCUUGUAAUAUAGGGAUUAUAAACAAACUCAUCAGGAUAUGUCAAGAGUUUUUCCCUAUGGUUUCUGUAAUGAGAGAUCUUCAUUAAGGAGUUUAUACUAGAGAAGAAUGAUGUUUGGAGGACUAUAUCAGCCUAGUUGGCUCAACCAAGAAAAAUAUUUUCUACCCUUGAAUUAAUGGCACAAGUUCUUAAAUAAGUGUGAACUGAAAAUUUUAAAUUUGGGGUGUUACUGUCAGGUCAGGUUUAAUUGUGUCAAUGUCCAAUAUGAUAGUCAGUUGGCUUUUGAUAUGAACAAGACGCAAUCCUUUGAUUUGGAGCUGACCCCCAUGACCCUUCUGAUUCCCAAUCCAUGUAAAUUUUGGGACACAUUUUAUGUUGUUUAUUGCACAUGCCUCACAACUUUCGAGCUAUUUAUUACCCAUUUAUUUGACUACUUUGAAAGGUUGCGUAGGCUUUCAUCUAGAGAUCACGAAUUUUUUUCUUUUUUUUUUUUUGUCCUACAUCGGGACUACUCAUAAAAUUCUAGUAUGAAUAUAUUUUAAAAAAAAUCAGAAGAAUACAACAAGUUACGAAGUAUCCGAGACAUCCCCUUCAUCAAUCUAAAAAUUCUCCAAAGUGAUUUGUUACAAAGAAAAUCACUCAGUCUGCAGCUCCAUUGGCCUUAUUACAGACGUGUUUUGUUCUGAAGGUAUUGCCAUCGGCACACAUACACACUCACACAUAUAAUAAAAAAAUAAAAAAUAAUUAAAAAAAGGAAAAAAGAAAGAAAGCCCGAGAGGACACAAUCCAAUUGUAGGCUUAAUGUUUGUUAUUGCUGAUGUAUCAAAGAUUGCAACAUUUGGCCUCAACCAAUCUGACUUGUUAGCUGGACGAGGAGGUGUAACCAAAACCCAACCUGCAAGCUCAAUGGGUCAGAUUAGAUUAUUUACGGUUCAAGUUAGGCUGGGUUGGAUAUGUCCGUAUGUUGGUUUUUGUACAUUGGUUGAGAUCUCGAAUAACCCAUCUGUUAUCUUUUUCUACGUUUUAUUGCUAUAAUAACAGAGUAAAGUAGGGGCCAAAAAGUAUUAUAAAUUUAUAAUAACCAUUCUUCUUUUUUUUUAUAAUAACUAAUAUGUGGGCCAUGGUCAUAAUGGGCUCGGGGCAACCCAUGUUUAUAAUAAGGAUGAACCGUUAUCUAUUAAGUGAAUUAAGUUCAAGUUUAAAUCUUUGACUUAUUUAAUUUAUUUUGAUUUAUUUAAUAAUUAAGAUCUAACUCAUGUAAUCAGUUUAAGACAUGCUUAAUCUAUUUAACUCGAUCUACUUGACUUGUUUCUAUCCUAUCUUAACUUAUCUAAAUUCAAUUAAUCUAUUAAAAAUUUAUUUAGCUUGACAUGGCUUGUUUAAUAAAUGGAUUAUAUAAAUCAAGCCAGGUUACUUGUUUAAUAAAUAGCUUAGAUUCAAAUUAAUGAAUUUUUGACUUAAUUCGUAUUCGAUGUGAUCCAUAUCCGAUCUUAUCUGUUUCAAUUGUGACCGGUACCACUUAGAUAAGAACUUUUUAUCUAUUAAAAACCUAAUUUUUUUUUAAGUCUCUUUUUUUUUUCUCCUGCUAUUUCUUAGGGCUCUGUUUUAGUUAAACAUCGAUCGCCCUCGCUCGGAUCAGCUUUGGCAACCUUCAAGCUCUUUUUUUCCUUUUCUGUGCAAGAUGAGGGUCACAAAUUGGAUCUUCUUCCUUACAUGCACAUCCGCCAACGACCUUCAAGUAUCAGAUUGGGUUUUGAUGGCAACAGCUUGGAAUAAUUAUUGUUGUACAAGAAAACUUUGUCAUCGUCAAAGAAAUUUGCAAUGAGGGGACUCGAUCAGCUCUGCGGGCAGUACAUGUCACAGCAAAUUUGUAUCUAACAUGAAAGUUUAGUGGGUUUUUUUUUUGGUACAUGAAAUUUUAGUUUGGAUACGUGGCCAGAGCUCUAGCCGGGUAUUUCGGCCCGCAAAACAUAGAGGUUUAUUUUUUUUAAUAAAAAUGGUAUUUUAUAUAGCUCUAACAUGAGUACGUCCUGAAAAUGUCUCUCGUGGAUGUUUAGAUGAUCUCUCCGAAGUGCCGGACAACAAAGGAGGCGAUUCAGUUUGCAUCACUGUUCGCUUCCCAGAACACAUGUAAUGCCUGAAAAGAGCUCAGUUCCUGGACCAGUCUACGAGUAUUACAAAUAAAAGAGUAACCAUCACCAUAUAUGUUCACUCCCCACACCCAAUCAAUUACCACUGAACAGUCUCCCUCAAGGUAUAUGCACUUAGCACCAAGUACCCGCCAUGUAAAGGAGAUAUCCUUUCAAGCUGUCCGUAGCUCCGCUCCAAUUAUAGUAAGACUGUGUGUACAGUGACCACCCGAUGCUAUCACCCUGCUGAGGUGAGGGAAAGACUGAAGAGCGGAUCUUGGUCCCAUGCAGGCUAUGGUAGUUCCGUGCUUGAGAUGCCGAAAAUAGCCCUGAGAGGGAUAUAGUGGGAAGGAAAUUAAGAUUUCGCCGCUGAUAUGUUUUUGUUUGUUUUUUUUUUUUUGCUUUAAAAAGAGAGCAUAGUUGGUGGAUAAAAUUAGAAGAAGCCGGAUAGCUUGGAGAUGGCGGGACAAGGUGCUUAUCCUUGUGGUCAGAUGGAAACUUAGCGGGAAAACGAUUCGGAUGCAAGUCAAUGCCUUUUUAGCUGGCUAUCUUGAGAUAAUAUGUUGUAAAAGAAAGUGUUAGUGGUGUCGUUAGCAAGAAUAUUAGAAGCCCUCAGGGUAGGCUAGUGGUGAGUUUAAUGGCCCUGCUUACUUCAAAUUUAAUUAAUGGUUGUUUGUGAUUUGCAUUUUAAUUGCAUAAUUAUUUCUGUUUAUGCUAGUCGAACCAAAGACAAGAAUAAUCCGUGGUACUCACGCCUCGGAAAGGAAAUUAGGUUGCGGACUGACUUGCAAUUUUUAUUGUUCCAUUGGCUUUAGCAAAAAACCAGAGCGAAAACAUAUGGGCCGGGUCAGGGUUAGAUUGGGUCAACCAAGCCCAGCUUAGUCUGGUGUGUGAAGUACAAAGUGCGCUGCGUUUAGAGCCUACCCAGUUUGAUUAGGUUGAUUAAGAUAAAUAAAGUAGUUGUGGAUGUGUUUAUUUGUAUUUAGACAGCCAAAUAAAGAAGUUUUGGAUGUGUUUGUUUGUAUUUAGAGAGCCAAACUAAUCAACCUAUUUAGGCUGGUUACAAGUCCAAUUAGUUAGCCGUCUUUAUAGUCCAUACCACGUUCAGUGUACCAAAAAGAAUGAUAUAUAUAUAAUCAAGUCCACAAGGACAAAGUAAAUGGCUGAGGCACUUGACCGGACGGCCAUACUUUUUUCAAUUUCUUUUAUCUGAAUUGGAUGACAUCGUGAAAAGGUUCACAAAUGCAGCAAACACACUAAACCAGGUUGGUUUAUUUAUUUAAUUGUCUAUUUUAGAAAACCAUGCAGAGACACUCAGUAGAAAAGGGAAGCAUUGAAGCAACCAUUGCAACCUCACAAACACUCACUCCAAACGCAAGCUCUUGAUUAUUAUAGUUCUCACACCAGCAGGUAUACGAACUCAAACCCGAACUAACCACUUCAAGCAUAGGCACCAGGGUUGGCCAGGAGGUAGGCCUCUGCAGCCUUGAUAAUCCCGAUCACUGCUUCCUUUCCCUUGGCUAUCUCAUCCUUGUUGUCAACUCCUGGUAAUGGCUUAUAGGUUGUCACC
This 17800-nucleotide long non-coding RNA is filed under the name Phoenix dactylifera (date palm). RNAcentral's name for it is "long non-coding RNA (PDAC_LNC001934)". Lineage: Eukaryota; Viridiplantae; Streptophyta; Magnoliopsida; Arecales; Arecaceae. The record is from RNAcentral.